This 457-nucleotide ribosomal RNA is filed under the name Polynucleobacter sp. Fw70s-63. RNAcentral's name for it is "bacterial SSU rRNA". It matches the Rfam family "Bacterial small subunit ribosomal RNA", at positions 30 to 479 of the family's 1533-position model. Lineage: Bacteria; Pseudomonadati; Pseudomonadota; Betaproteobacteria; Burkholderiales; Burkholderiaceae. The record is from RNAcentral.
AUUGAACGCUGGCGGCAUGCCUUACACAUGCAAGUCGAACGGCAGCACGGGUGCUUGCACCUGGUGGCGAGUGGCGAACGGGUGAGUAAUAUAUCGGAACGUACCUUAUCGUGGGGGAUAACGCAGCGAAAGCUGCGCUAAUACCGCAUACGCCCUGAGGGGGAAAGCGGGGGACCGUAAGGCCUCGCGCGAUUAGAGCGGCCGAUAUCUGAUUAGCUUGUUGGUGGGGUAAAAGCCCACCAAGGCGACGAUCAGUAGCUGGUCUGAGAGGACGAUCAGCCACACUGGGACUGAGACACGGCCCAGACUCCUACGGGAGGCAGCAGUGGGGAAUUUUGGACAAUGGGGGCAACCCUGAUCCAGCAAUGCCGCGUGAGUGAAGAAGGCCUUCGGGUUGUAAAGCUCUUUUGUCAGGGAAGAAACAGCAGCUAUAACACAGUCUGCGAAUGACGGUACC